This 320-nucleotide ribosomal RNA is filed under the name Busseola sp. BUKEG7157. RNAcentral's name for it is "partial 16S large subunit ribosomal RNA". Lineage: Eukaryota; Metazoa; Arthropoda; Insecta; Lepidoptera; Noctuidae. RNAcentral also lists the same sequence under 1 other name. The record is from RNAcentral.
UGUCUUUUUGAAAAUAAUAUAAAGUCUAAUCUGCCCACUGAUUUUAUAUUAAAGGGCUGCAGUAUUUUGACUGUACAAAGGUAGCAUAAUCAUUAGUCAUUUAAUUGAUGACUUGUAUGAAAGAUUGGAUGAAAUAUAAACUGUCUCUUAAUUAUCAAUAUAAAACUUAAUUUUUUAAUUAAAAAGUUAAAAUAAUUUAAAAAGACGAGAAGACCCUAUAGAGUUUUAUAUUUAAAUUAAUUAAGAUUAUUUAAAAUUUAAAAUUAAAAUUAAUUUAUUUAUUAUAUUGGGGUGAUAGAAAAAUAUAUAUAACUUUUUUU